RNAcentral lists this ribosomal RNA (1128 nucleotides) under Bacillus sp. 3SB2. Its description in RNAcentral is "bacterial SSU rRNA". It matches the Rfam family "Bacterial small subunit ribosomal RNA", at positions 60 to 1181 of the family's 1533-position model. The record is from RNAcentral. Lineage: Bacteria; Bacillati; Bacillota; Bacilli; Caryophanales; Bacillaceae.
GGUCGAGCGGACAGAAGGGAGCUUGCUCCCGGAUGUUAGCGGCGGACGGGUGAGUAACACGUGGGUAACCUGCCUGUAAGACUGGGAUAACUCCGGGAAACCGGAGCUAAUACCGGAUAGUUCCUUGAACCGCAUGGUUCAAGGAUGAAAGACGGUUUCGGCUGUCACUUACAGAUGGACCCGCGGCGCAUUAGCUAGUUGGUGGGGUAAUGGCUCACCAAGGCGACGAUGCGUAGCCGACCUGAGAGGGUGAUCGGCCACACUGGGACUGAGACACGGCCCAGACUCCUACGGGAGGCAGCAGUAGGGAAUCUUCCGCAAUGGACGAAAGUCUGACGGAGCAACGCCGCGUGAGUGAUGAAGGUUUUCGGAUCGUAAAGCUCUGUUGUUAGGGAAGAACAAGUGCGAGAGUAACUGCUCGCACCUUGACGGUACCUAACCAGAAAGCCACGGCUAACUACGUGCCAGCAGCCGCGGUAAUACGUAGGUGGCAAGCGUUGUCCGGAAUUAUUGGGCGUAAAGGGCUCGCAGGCGGUUUCUUAAGUCUGAUGUGAAAGCCCCCGGCUCAACCGGGGAGGGUCAUUGGAAACUGGGAAACUUGAGUGCAGAAGAGGAGAGUGGAAUUCCACGUGUAGCGGUGAAAUGCGUAGAGAUGUGGAGGAACACCAGUGGCGAAGGCGACUCUCUGGUCUGUAACUGACGCUGAGGAGCGAAAGCGUGGGGAGCGAACAGGAUUAGAUACCCUGGUAGUCCACGCCGUAAACGAUGAGUGCUAAGUGUUAGGGGGUUUCCGCCCCUUAGUGCUGCAGCUAACGCAUUAAGCACUCCGCCUGGGGAGUACGGUCGCAAGACUGAAACUCAAAGGAAUUGACGGGGGCCCGCACAAGCGGUGGAGCAUGUGGUUUAAUUCGAAGCAACGCGAAGAACCUUACCAGGUCUUGACAUCCUCUGACAACCCUAGAGAUAGGGCUUUCCCUUCGGGGACAGAGUGACAGGUGGUGCAUGGUUGUCGUCAGCUCGUGUCGUGAGAUGUUGGGUUAAGUCCCGCACGAGCGCACCCUUGAUCUAGUUGCCAGCAUUUAGUGGGCACUCUAGGUGACUGCGGUGACACCGGAGGAGGUGGGGAUG